UACGGCCAUAUCACAUUGAAACACCAGUUCUCAUAUGAUCACCAAAAUUAAGCAAGCAAUGUUGAGCCUGGUCAGUACCUAGAUGGGUGACCACUUGGGAAUACUAAGUGCUGUAA
Acanthosepion pharaonis is the source of this 116-nucleotide non-coding RNA. The record is from the annotation of a GenBank genome assembly. NCBI's taxonomy places the organism in Eukaryota, Metazoa, Mollusca, Cephalopoda, Sepiida, Sepiidae.